AGCGCUGUGGUUGAGCAGGUGAAAGCACCUGUCUUAUAAACAGGAGAUCCUGGGUUCAAAUCCCAGCAGUGCCU
This 74-nucleotide transfer RNA is filed under the name Oreochromis niloticus (Nile tilapia). Its description in RNAcentral is "tRNA-Ile (TAT) (tRNA-Ile-TAT-15-1)". It matches the Rfam family "tRNA". Rfam says of the family: Transfer RNA (tRNA) molecules are approximately 80 nucleotides in length. Their secondary structure includes four short double-helical elements and three loops (D, anti-codon, and T loops). The record is from Rfam by way of RNAcentral. RNAcentral also lists the same sequence under 1 other name. Lineage: Eukaryota; Metazoa; Chordata; Actinopteri; Cichliformes; Cichlidae.